UACGUAGGUGGCAAGCGUUGUCCGGAAUUAUUGGGCGUAAAGCGCGCGCAGGCGGUCCUUUAAGUCUGAUGUGAAAGCCCACGGCUCAACCGUGGAGGGUCAUUGGAAACUGGGGGACUUGAGUACAGAAGAGGAAAGCGGAAUUCCACGUGUAGCGGUGAAAUGCGUAGAGAUGUGGAGGAACACCAGUGGCGAAGGCGCUUUCUGGUCUGUAACUGACGCUGAGGCGCGAAAGCGUGGGGAGCAAACAGG
Molecule: ribosomal RNA, 252 nt
Filed under: uncultured bacterium
Lineage: Bacteria
Description: partial 16S ribosomal RNA
Rfam family: Bacterial small subunit ribosomal RNA
Source: RNAcentral